ACUCCGGUUGAUCCUGCCGGACCCGACCGCUAUCGGGGUAGGGCUAAGCCAUGGGAGUCGAACGCCCCGCCGCUGCGGGGCGUGGCGGACGGCUGAGUAACACGUGGCUAACCUACCCUCGGGACGGGGAUAACCCCUCGGGAAACUGGGGCUAAUCCCCGAUAGGCGGGGGGUGCCUGGAAGGGUCCUCCGCCGAAAGGGGCCGCGGGGGGUUAUCGCCCGCGGCCCGCCCGAGGAUGGGGCUGCGGCCCAUCACGGUAGUUGGCGGGGUAAUGGCCCGCCAAGCCUACGACGGGUAGGGGCCGUGAGAGCGGGAGCCCCCAGAUGGGCACUGAGACAAGGGCCCAGGCCCUACGGGGCGCACCAGGCGCGAAAACUCCGCAAUGCGGGCAACCGUGACGGGGCUACCCCGAGUGCCCCCCUUGGGGGGGCUUUUCCCCGCUGUAAGUAGGCGGGGGAAUAAGCGGGGGGCAAGACUGGUGUCAGCCGCCGCGGUAAUACCAGCCCCGCGAGCGGUCGGGGUGCUUACUGGGCCUAAAGCGCCCGUAGCCGGCUCGACAAGUCCCCGCCUAAAGCCCCGGGCUCAACCCGGGGAGUGGCGGGGAUACUGUCGGGCUAGGGGGCGGGAGAGGCCGAGGGUACUCCCGGGGUAGGGGCGAAAUCCAUUAAUCCCGGGAGGACCACCAUUGGCGAAGGCGCUCGGCUGGAACGCGCCCGACGGUGAGGGGCGAAAGCCGGGGGAGCGAACCGGAUUAGAUACCCGGGUAGUCCCGGCUGUAAACGAUGCGGGCUAGGUGUUGGGCGGGCGUGCGAGCCCGCCCAGUGCCGCAGGGAAGCCGUUAAGCCCGCCGCCUGGGGAGUACGGCCGCAAGGCUGAAACUUAAAGGAAUUGGCGGGGGAGCACCACAAGGGGUGGAGCCUGCGGCUUAAUUGGAGUCAACGCCGGGAACCUCCACCGGGGGCGACAGCAGGAUGACGGCCAUGCUGAAGGCCUUGCCCGACGCGCUGAGGGGAGGUGCAUGGCCGUCGCCAGCUCGUGCCGUGAGGUGUCCUGUUAAGUCAGGCAACGAGCGAGACCCCCGCCCCUAGUUGCCAUCCCCGGGGCGACCCGGGGGGCACACUAGGGGGACUGCCGCCGCUAAGGCGGAGGAAGGAGGGGGCAACGGCAGGUCAGCAUGCCCCUAAACCCCCGGGCUGCACGCGGGCUACAAUGGCGGGGACAGCGGGUGCCGACCCCGAAAGGGGGAGGCAAUCCCUCAAACCCCGCCUCAGUUGGGAUCGAGGGCUGCAACUCGCCCUCGUGAACGUGGAAUCCCUACUAACCGCGCGUCAUCAUCGCGCGGUGAAUACGUCCCUGCUCCUUGCACACACUGCCCGUCGCUCCACCCGAGGGGGGAGGGGGUGAGGCCCUCUCCGCCGGGAGGGGGUCGAACCCCCUCCCCCCGAGGGGGGAGAAGUCGUAACAAGGUAGCCGUAGGGGAACCUGCGGCUGGAUCACCU
This 1500-nucleotide ribosomal RNA is filed under the name Aeropyrum pernix. RNAcentral describes it as "16S rRNA". It matches the Rfam family "Archaeal small subunit ribosomal RNA". The record is from RNAcentral. Lineage: Archaea; Thermoproteati; Thermoproteota; Thermoprotei; Acidilobales; Acidilobaceae.